Long non-coding RNA from Stegastes partitus (bicolor damselfish), 616 nucleotides. RefSeq lists it as uncharacterized. The transcript is spliced from 5 exons. The record is from RefSeq and is a predicted model, not a curated record. NCBI's taxonomy places the organism in Eukaryota, Metazoa, Chordata, Actinopteri, Pomacentridae.
CCAGUAAUGCCAGAGUCUCAGCCGAAGACGUUUGCCGAUGCUCACAGGUAUCGAUGGAAUUGCUCUGUAAGAUGAAUGGACGACUGGAGCCUCCCUACAGAUCUGUGUCCAGUUCAAGUUGGCAAAUUCAGUUCUUCGGUGAAGUCAUGUGGAAUGUAACAAUGCUUCUAAGGACUGAGUGAACUGAUAGAACUGCAGUGAAAACCACACUGGCUGACGUGGAAGAAAAGAUGUGUUUUAAUUAGAAAAUAGGGGCCACUAGUGGUAUUCAUACAUGGGUAUGUUGUUCCACCCCGUGUGAAAGAAGCGGGAAAACAGUUUUUGGUCAGCUGAUGUUAAUCAGCCCCCUUGUUACAACAUAAGGGUGAAGAUGUGGAGAUAAAAACCGCAGGGAUUCAUGGAGGUUUGGAUUCCCAGAUCAUCAUCAAAAACAACCUGGGAACAAGAAAACAGAAUCAACUUCCGAGGCUCAGCUGAGUCGUCCAGUUCAGUGCCAAAGUGAUCGUGCGGGGGUCAACGCCGUUAUCGUGUACGAUGACCAGACAUAUCGGAUGUUCCCUAUCCCACCGGCUGGUGUGGUUGAAGCAGCAGCGCCCAGGUAAACAGGGACAUUUCA